RNAcentral lists this ribosomal RNA (834 nucleotides) under Setophoma sacchari. RNAcentral's name for it is "eukaryotic LSU rRNA". It matches the Rfam family "Eukaryotic large subunit ribosomal RNA", at positions 71 to 925 of the family's 3401-position model. Lineage: Eukaryota; Fungi; Ascomycota; Dothideomycetes; Pleosporales; Phaeosphaeriaceae. The record is from RNAcentral.
GGGAUUGCCCUAGUAACGGCGAGUGAAGCGGCAACAGCUCAAAUUUGAAAUCUGGCUCUUUUAGAGUCCGAGUUGUAAUUUGCAGAGGGCGCUUUGGUGUUGGCAGCGGUCCAAGUUCUUUGGAACAGGACGUCACAGAGGGUGAGAAUCCCGUACGUGGUCGCUAGCCCUCACCGUGUAAAGCCCCUUCGACGAGUCGAGUUGUUUGGGAAUGCAGCUCUAAAUGGGAGGUAAAUUUCUUCUAAAGCUAAAUAUUGGCCAGAGACCGAUAGCGCACAAGUAGAGUGAUCGAAAGAUGAAAAGCACUUUGGAAAGAGAGUCAAAUAGCACGUGAAAUUGUUGAAAGGGAAGCGCUUGCAGCCAGACUUGCCUGUAGUUGCUUAUCUAGACUUCUGUCUAGUGCACUCUUCUAUAGGCAGGCCAGCAUCAGUUUGGGCGGUUGGAUAAAGGUCUCUGUCAUGUACCUCCUCUCGGGGAGGCCUUAUAGGGGAGACGACAUGCAACCAGCCUGGACUGAGGUCCGCGCAUCUGCUAGGAUGCUGGCGUAAUGGCUGUAAGCGGCCCGUCUUGAAACACGGACCAAGGAGUCUAACAUCUAUGCGAGUGUUUGGGUGUCAAGCCCAUACGCGUAAUGAAAGUGAACGGAGGUGGGAACCUUAGGGUGCACCAUCGACCGAUCCUGAUGUCUUCGGAUGGAUUUGAGUAAGAGCAUGGCUGUUGGGACCCGAAAGAUGGUGAACUAUGCUUGAAUAGGGUGAAGCCAGAGGAAACUCUGGUGGAGGCUCGCAGCGGUUCUGACGUGCAAAUCGAUCGUCAAAUUUGGGCAUAGGGGCG